AGACAAAGGUGACCCAUGUGUGAUAACAGUCAACUGCCCUGAUAAAACUGGUCUUGGUUGUGAUUUGUGUCGCAUCAUUCUCUUCUUUGGUCUUAGCAUUGUCAGAGGAGGUAAUUUCUUCCCCACUUAAUUGAUUUUAUUCUGUAUUUAGCAACGAUUUUCUUGUUUGGCUGCUGAGAAAAUAUGGGGAAAAUAUGUUAUGAUUUUCUUUUGUUGAAUCUACCUCUUGAAAUUUUUUGUAAAAAGAAAAAAAAAAGAGUGAUUGGUAUGUGUGAUUGGUCUUCAACUUUGAGAAACAAGUGAUGGGUAGUUAAGAUUUUAAUUACAUCUAGUGAAACUAUGAUUUUAAUUUUUUUAAAUAACUAUUUUCCUGGUUUGGCUGUUGAGAAAAUAUAGGAAAAAAAAGUUUUAUUUCUA
This 417-nucleotide long non-coding RNA is filed under the name Citrus maxima (pomelo). RNAcentral describes it as "long non-coding RNA (CMAX_LNC002471)". The record is from RNAcentral. Lineage: Eukaryota; Viridiplantae; Streptophyta; Magnoliopsida; Sapindales; Rutaceae.